GCUCCUCUUCGAACUCCUGCUCGUCGUCCUUGGACUCGUGGCCGUUGUCUUGGUGAGACGGGAAGGACAGGUCCGAGAUCGUUGGACUGGUCGAGUCUGGCUGCUGAAGAACUGGAAUGACGAAGGUCUACCUACACGCACUUACGCACCGGGGACUAACGACUAUGCCUGGAUGACGCGUUCGCCGGUAGAUUAGACCGACGAGGUCGCUCUUGGUGCAGCUGCACUUUUCCAGACGAAUCAUCGUCGGCUCUUAGAACUGAUUGCAGCAGGGCAGAUGCGGACGUCAUCGAUUUUUUAGUCUCAUUUUUCAACGAUCGUUAAAGGAGGGUCCCUCGCGUGGGUACAGCCUAAGGCAUAUGCUGUAUAAUGAAUUUAAUCAGUCAAUCCAACCCCCUUGCAAACUUGGCGCUAACCGAAGAUACACGAGGUACGGGGAUCUUGGUUGGGAAGAGCGAACGCAAAAAAUUGGGGAACCAUGGCUACCACCGACAAUGCCCUUUUUGGGCGUGACAAUUUCAAUUCAUCGAAGGUCGCGGUCCGUGCAUCUGUCCUGGAGCAGGACAUCUGUCUGUUCCGCGAACCAAUCGGGUACGGGACACAAGGACCUUUUACGGGGCUAUUAGAUCCUGCUUAGGCGAGGCGGACCAAUUGUAGGGUGCUAAAUAAAUAAGGGUUGCAACGUAUCCCUCUAUCCCGUGGUUGGAAUACUAGUGGUUGAGGCAUGUUCGUGGGUAAUGCUGGACCCGUUGGCCAUCCUAAUAUACCUGGUGGCGGUGGUGGCAAUGUACCUCUGGCUAGAUUCGCAUGUACAGCCGGUUGUAACAUGGCGGUCGUGUGCUCCAGGAGUUGCUGAUAGGUCGACGAUUUUUGGCAUACCCUGUAUCUCGGACUCCUCUUGAGUGGGUUUGGGAUCAUUCAGCUCCAGGAUGUCGCUGAUAUGAAAACUGGACAUCCUCGCAGGCAUCUUCAUGCUUUCGAAUAAUCUUUA
Molecule: long non-coding RNA, 991 nt
Organism: Cephus cinctus (wheat stem sawfly)
Lineage: Eukaryota; Metazoa; Arthropoda; Insecta; Hymenoptera; Cephidae
Exons: 5
Source: RefSeq, a predicted model, not a curated record